AAGAAAAUUCGAUUCCCUUAGUAGCGGCGAGCGAAACGGGAAGAGCCCAAACCAACAAGCUUGCUUGUUGGGGUUGUAGGACACUCUAUACGGAGCUACAAAGGACGACAUUAGACGAAUCAUCUGGAAAGAUGAAUCAAAGAAGGUAAUAAUCCUGUAGUCGAAAAUGUUGUCUCUCUUGAGUGGAUCCUGAGUACGACGGAGCACGUGAAAUUCCGUCGGAAUCUGGGAGGACCAUCUCCUAAGGCUAAAUACUCUCUAGUGACCGAUAGUGAACCAGUACCGUGAGGGAAAGGUGAAAAGCACCCCGGAAGGGGAGUGAAAUAGAACCUGAAACCGUGUGCUUACAAGUAGUCAGAGCCCGUUAAUGGGUGAUGGCGUGCCUUUUGUAGAAUGAACCGGCGAGUUACGAUUUGAUGCAAGGUUAAGCAGUAAAUGUGGAGCCGUAGCGAAAGCGAGUCUGAAUAGGGCGUUUAGUAUUUGGUCGUAGACCCGAAACCAGGUGAUCUACCCUUGGUCAGGUUGAAGUUCAGGUAACACUGAAUGGAGGACCGAACCGACUUACGUUGAAAAGUGAGCGGAUGAACUGAGGGUAGCGGAGAAAUUCCAAUCGAACCUGGAGAUAGCUGGUUCUCUCCGAAAUAGCUUUAGGGCUAGCCUCAAGUGAUGAUUAUUGGAGGUAGAGCACUGUUUGGACGAGGGGCCCCUCUCGGGUUACCGAAUUCAGACAAACUCCGAAUGCCAAUUAAUUUAACUUGGGAGUCAGAACAUGGGUGAUAAGGUCCGUGUUCGAAAGGGAAACAGCCCAGACCACCAGCUAAGGUCCCAAAAUAUAUGUUAAGUGGAAAAGGAUGUGGCGUUGCCCAGACAACUAGGAUGUUGGCUUAGAAGCAGCCAUCAUUUAAAGAGUGCGUAAUAGCUCACUAGUCGAGUGACACUGCGCCGAAAAUGUACCGGGGCUAAACAUAUUACCGAAGCUGUGGAUUGUCCUUUGGACAAUGGUAGGAGAGCGUUCUAAGGGCGUUGAAGCAUGAUCGUAAGGACAUGUGGAGCGCUUAGAAGUGAGAAUGCCGGUGUGAGUAGCGAAAGACGGGUGAGAAUCCCGUCCACCGAUUGACUAAGGUUUCCAGAGGAAGGCUCGUCCGCUCUGGGUUAGUCGGGUCCUAAGCUGAGGCCGACAGGCGUAGGCGAUGGAUAACAGGUUGAUAUUCCUGUACCACCUAUAAUCGUUUUAAUCGAUGGGGGGACGCAGUAGGAUAGGCGAAGCGUGCGAUUGGAUUGCACGUCUAAGCAGUAAGGCUGAGUAUUAGGCAAAUCCGGUACUCGUUAAGGCUGAGCUGUGAUGGGGAGAAGACAUUGUGUCUUCGAGUCGUUGAUUUCACACUGCCGAGAAAAGCCUCUAGAUAGAAAAUAGGUGCCCGUACCGCAAACCGACACAGGUAGUCAAGAUGAGAAUUCUAAGGUGAGCGAGCGAACUCUCGUUAAGGAACUCGGCAAAAUGACCCCGUAACUUCGGGAGAAGGGGUGCUCUUUAGGGUUAACGCCCAGAAGAGCCGCAGUGAAUAGGCCCAAGCGACUGUUUAUCAAAAACACAGGUCUCUGCUAAACCGUAAGGUGAUGUAUAGGGGCUGACGCCUGCCCGGUGCUGGAAGGUUAAGAGGAGUGGUUAGCUUCUGCGAAGCUACGAAUCGAAGCCCCAGUAAACGGCGGCCGUAACUAUAACGGUCCUAAGGUAGCGAAAUUCCUUGUCGGGUAAGUUCCGACCCGCACGAAAGGCGUAACGAUUUGGGCACUGUCUCAACGAGAGACUCGGUGAAAUCAUAGUACCUGUGAAGAUGCAGGUUACCCGCGACAGGACGGAAAGACCCCGUGGAGCUUUACUGUAGCCUGAUAUUGAAAUUCGGCACAGCUUGUACAGGAUAGGUAGGAGCCUUUGAAACGUGAGCGCUAGCUUACGUGGAGGCGCUGGUGGGAUACUACCCUAGCUGUGUUGGCUUUCUAACCCGCACCACUUAUCGUGGUGGGAGACAGUGUCAGGCGGGCAGUUUGACUGGGGCGGUCGCCUCCUAAAAGGUAACGGAGGCGCUCAAAGGUUCCCUCAGAAUGGUUGGAAAUCAUUCAUAGAGUGUAAAGGCAUAAGGGAGCUUGACUGCGAGACCUACAAGUCGAGCAGGGUCGAAAGACGGACUUAGUGAUCCGGUGGUUCCGCAUGGAAGGGCCAUCGCUCAACGGAUAAAAGCUACCCCGGGGAUAACAGGCUUAUCUCCCCCAAGAGUUCACAUCGACGGGGAGGUUUGGCACCUCGAUGUCGGCUCAUCGCAUCCUGGGGCUGUAGUCGGUCCCAAGGGUUGGGCUGUUCGCCCAUUAAAGCGGUACGCGAGCUGGGUUCAGAACGUCGUGAGACAGUUCGGUCCCUAUCCGUCGUGGGCGUAGGAAAUUUGAGAGGAGCUGUCCUUAGUACGAGAGGACCGGGAUGGACAUACCUCUGGUGUACCAGUUGUCGUGCCAACGGCAUAGCUGGGUAGCUAUGUGUGGACGGGAUAAGUGCUGAAAGCAUCUAAGCAUGAAGCCCCCCUCAAGAUGAGAUUUCCCAACUUCGGUUAUAAGAUCCCUCAAAGAUGAUGAGGUUAAUAGGUUCGAGGUGGAAGCAUGGUGACAUGUGGAGCUGACGAAUACUAAUCGAUCGAAGACUUAAUCAA
RNAcentral lists this ribosomal RNA (2699 nucleotides) under Staphylococcus aureus VET0383R. Its description in RNAcentral is "bacterial LSU rRNA". It matches the Rfam family "Bacterial large subunit ribosomal RNA". Lineage: Bacteria; Bacillati; Bacillota; Bacilli; Caryophanales; Staphylococcaceae. The record is from RNAcentral.